AGAAUGAACGCUGGCGGCGUGCUUAACACAUGCAAGUCGAACGAGGCGGAGGGGGGCAACCCCUCCAGUCGAGUGGCGGACGGGUGAGUAACACGUGGGUAACCUGCCCGGAAGUGGGGAAUACCUCGGGGAAACUCGAGCUAAUACCGCAUGACAUCUUCGGGACGAGAGUCCUGACGAUCAAAGCGGGGCCGCAAGGCCUCGCGCUCCCGGAUGGGCCCGCGCCCGAUUAGCUAGUUGGCGAGGUAACGGCUCACCAAGGCUUCGAUC
This 270-nucleotide ribosomal RNA is filed under the name uncultured soil bacterium. RNAcentral describes it as "partial 16S ribosomal RNA". It matches the Rfam family "Bacterial small subunit ribosomal RNA", at positions 26 to 281 of the family's 1533-position model. The record is from RNAcentral.